RNAcentral lists this ribosomal RNA (465 nucleotides) under uncultured bacterium. Its description in RNAcentral is "partial 16S ribosomal RNA". It matches the Rfam family "Bacterial small subunit ribosomal RNA", at positions 28 to 507 of the family's 1533-position model. The record is from RNAcentral.
GACGAACGCUGGCGGCGUGCUUAACACAUGCAAGUCGAACGGAAAGGCCCUGCUUGCCGGGUACUCGAGUGGCGAACGGGUGAGUAACACGUGGGUGAUCUGCCCUGCACUUCGGGAUAAGCCUGGGAAACUGGGUCUAAUACCGGAUAGGAGCCAUUUUUAGUGUGAUGGUUGGAAAGUUUUUUCGGUGUAGGAUGAGCUCGCGGCCUAUCAGCUUGUUGGUGGGGUAAUGGCCUACCAAGGCGGCGACGGGUAGCCGGCCUGAGAGGGUGGACGGCCACAUUGGGACUGAGAUACGGCCCAGACUCCUACGGGGGGCAGCAGUGGGGAAUAUUGCACAAUGGGCGCAAGCCUGAUGCAGCGACGCCGCGUGGGGGAUGACGGCCUUCGGGUUGUAAACUCCUUUCGCUAGGGACGAAGCUUUUUGUGACGGUACCUAGAGAAGAAGCACCGGCUAACUACGUG